Molecule: long non-coding RNA, 1340 nt
Organism: Lepisosteus oculatus (spotted gar)
Lineage: Eukaryota; Metazoa; Chordata; Actinopteri; Semionotiformes; Lepisosteidae
Source: RefSeq, a predicted model, not a curated record
AUAAGAAAUAAAAGCACCGCAUCCGCCAACAACGCUACCUAACGGCACCUUCAUUUGAUACAAGCGUGUCAGCUGAACGACAGAGCUGUAUCUCUCCCAGUGCAGACAGCUCAUGUGUGUAUAUGCUGUAAUAUCUCAGCAGAGCAUCCUAUAGCCAAACACAGCAACUGAUCUCCCUCUUUGUAACGCAGACAGACGGCGAAAAGACUUCUGCUUCGUUUGUUUUUUUUUUUAAAAGUGCAAAUAAAACACACGGAUGUGUUUUAUUUUUGUCAGCAAAACCAACACACCGUCGAGUAUCCGUCCUGAAUACUUUUUUGUACCAGUUUACUUGUCGAAAACGAAUGAAUUCAACAUCCUCUAAACUUCUGCCACAGAACCUCCCUUUGCCUCAGCCUCUGUCCGGCGCGACAAGACAGUGAAGACACAGAUGGGAUUCACUUACAAUGGAGAUCCGAUGCCUUUUCACCAAGUGGCUCCCCUUCAUUUUGUCAUUGGCACUCUGAAUGGCAUUAAACCAGACUGCCUUCUCUCUUUUGUGAUGGAAGCUCAUUGAUCUGCUCUCUCUGCCUGUCUCUUGCUCUCACACUGUCGCUGGGAUCGGUGAGGAAACAUCCCAGCACCUGUCACGAACCACCCCGGGGGUGGGCACUAAACACGCUCCUCAUUGGAACAGCGAGGAGAAGAGGCCACUUCCGAUCCUGACACCCACUGAGGGUGCCCCCCCACGCCACAGCCCGCCCACGCCGACAGCUAUUCUACCUCGUUGGAAGACAGUUCAGAAUGAACUAGUGAGAAACCCAGACCCAAGCUCCUUCAUAAUAACGAUAAUAUUGCAGGGAAGAGUCGGGAUUCCUGGAAGGAGAACAGAGCAGCCUCCCUCUCUCGGCUGCGGCUCUCCUGUUCUCAGGGUCCGCAGGCCUGCUGCCUGCCCUGCUGGUGGCCCUCUCUGGGGGUGUGGGCAGUACCGGUCCAGGGGGAGGGAGGCACACAAGCAGACAGGCUGCCAACUUGCCACGAGCACAAGGAUGCCACCGCGAUACCCAGUCAGCUCCUGAGAGGGACACAAACUGACAGGCAUCGAACACUUGGUGGCUGGGGGGAUAGGAUACGCUACUCCUCCCACGCUACAUUUCCUGUGUGGCUCAGAGGCUUUUUUCACACUGAAAGGAAGAGCAAAAGAGAGACACAGAGAGAGAGAGAAUGAGAACAGUUUCUCGCCGGAGACUGAAACCAUUUAGUCUGUGAUGAAGAACACAGCUGGAGCAAAACUUGCAGACAAUGUUCCUCCAGAAUCACGACUGGGAAUCCCUAUCAUAGGAGAAGGGCAUUGCGUCCUC